CGAAGAAAGUGCGGUUAGGUUUCCUUGGGAAGCAAAGGCACAAUAAACUUUCACCAAUUCAUGUGAAGAAACUGAAGUUAAAAACUACUUGCCCAAUGUCUUACAGCUAAUAAGAAAAUGACAAUAAAAAUCUGAACCUUCUCAAUAGACUGUAGUGAGGCUCAAAUGAAAGAAUGGAUGUGAAAUCCUGCUGCAAACUACACUCACUGUAUGUAAAAAUGCAAGAAAGGAACAAAAUGCUAUUUGGAGCUCAGCAAUCAAGAGAAAAUUAAUUUUUUUGAUUACAGAUGGCAUGUCCUGAAACUCAUGACCAUAAAACAUUAAGGAAAGAACUAACCCUGAAGGUACUAGGCUGGGAAGUCACUGAAAAGUGAGACUCUGAUUUGACAGAGUCUAUAAAUAAGAUUCAAGGAAAGAAGGAGCUGUCUUUUUUCAGGAGAACAAGAAACUUUACAGUGCUGAUUAUGAGGAUAUCCAGGGUAUAGAAGGAUAAAGAUGGAAUGGAAAAAAGAAAAACUUCUAUUUGCCUAAUUCAUCUGUCCAAAACCAAUAAAUGAAAGAAGAAAAAAAAUUUGAGGACCAAUAUCAACAAUAAAAAUGGUGAACUACUUCUACUUUCAAUAGAAGCAUUCUUGAGUACCUUUUCCUUGCAAUGGGUCCUCUUCCUACUUCUUUUACCCUUCCUUCCCACUUAAAUCCAAAGGGGGAAAAUAAAACUAAUAAAAUAUCUUUUACUUAGAAUAAGGAAGAGCAAUGGGAAAAAUCAGUUUUGCUUUGCUCCACCCCAGUCCAUAGCGCCUACCAUAUUUUUA
Eptesicus fuscus (big brown bat) is the source of this 812-nucleotide long non-coding RNA. RefSeq lists it as uncharacterized. The record is from RefSeq and is a predicted model, not a curated record. The transcript is spliced from 3 exons. Lineage: Eukaryota; Metazoa; Chordata; Mammalia; Chiroptera; Vespertilionidae.